ACUUUGCAUAAGGUCACACAAUACAAGAAAGGGAAGGACAGCCUUGCUGCACAAGGUAAAAGGCGAUAUGAUCGCAAGCAAUCAGGCUAUGGAGGGCAGACAAAACCUGUUUUCCACAAGAAGGCCAAAACCACUAAGAAGAUUGUUCUGAGGUUGCAAUGUCAAGGUUGUAAGCAUGUGUCUCAGCAUCCAAUUAAGAG
RNAcentral lists this unclassified non-coding RNA (200 nucleotides) under Hevea brasiliensis (rubber tree). Lineage: Eukaryota; Viridiplantae; Streptophyta; Magnoliopsida; Malpighiales; Euphorbiaceae. The record is from RNAcentral.